UAGGGAAUCUUCCACAAUGGACGCACGUCUGAUGGAGCAACGCCGCGUGAGUGAAGAAGGUUUUCGGAUCGUAAAGCUCUGUUGUUAGUGAAGAAGGAUAGAGGCAGUAACUGGUAUUUAUUUGACGGUAAUCAACCAGAAAGUCACGGCUAACUACGUGCCAGCAGCCGCGGUAAUACGUAGGUGGCAAGCGUUGUCCGGAUUUAUUGGGCGUAAAGCGAGCGCAGGCGGAAUGAUAAGUCUGAUGUGAAAGCCCACGGCUCAACCGUGGAACUGCAUCGGAAACUGUCAUUCUUGAGUGCAGAAGAGGAGGGUGGAAUUCCAUGUGUAGCGGUGGAAUGCGUAGAUAUAUGGAAGAACACCAGUGGCGAAGGUGGCGCUCUGGUCUGCAACUGACGCUGAGGCUCGAAAGCAUGGGUAGCGAACAGG
This 429-nucleotide ribosomal RNA is filed under the name bacterium. Its description in RNAcentral is "partial 16S ribosomal RNA". It matches the Rfam family "Bacterial small subunit ribosomal RNA", at positions 355 to 776 of the family's 1533-position model. The record is from RNAcentral.